Oncorhynchus keta (chum salmon) is the source of this 3157-nucleotide RNA transcript. It is a transcript of the gene named solute carrier family 22 member 6-A-like, with no coding region annotated. The record is from RefSeq and is a predicted model, not a curated record. The transcript is spliced from 8 exons. Lineage: Eukaryota; Metazoa; Chordata; Actinopteri; Salmoniformes; Salmonidae.
GCGGCAGCAGCCUGCCUGCGCUCAGGGUUCACUACACCAUAGACAGGUGUGACUUCAUCUGAAUGAGGACUGAAUGAGAAUUACACAAACCAGUCUGUGUAGUUUAUCCUGAGCUCUGUGAGGUGUCAGCUGCCUCUCAGCCGUCUGUCCACUCCACUUUCAAACCAUUCAGAAGUUUCAAAUCUUUGUUGGCAACUUGAGAGAGCACUGUUCUGUUAGACCUCUUGUAUCUGUGAUGAUACAUUAGGGUAGCGUCUGCAUUGAAAUAGCAGCUAUGGAAAGAAGCAUGAAUUUUGACGAGAUUCUUUCUCAUAUCGGUGGCUUUGGCAAGUUCCAGAAGAUCUUGUAUGUGUGGAUUUGCCUCCCCCAGGUCCUGCUGGCGUUCCACAUGCUGAUAUCGGUCUUCACGGGGGCUGUCCCCCCUCAUCUCUGUCGCUCCAGCAACACCACCUGGGCCUUGGCCGCCAGCUCAGACGCAUUCAACUUCAGCCUGGUUACGGGCCCAGACGGUGACCCUGACCUGUCCUGCUCUGCCCCUGGGGGGGUCCCUAGCACCCCGCUAGCCCAGUUGAAUCACAGUACCGCCCUGGCCCUUAGCGAUGACCACGUCACCGGGGUUUGUCAAGGGGGAUGGGAAUUCAGCAAAGAGACCUUCCACAGCACCGUAGCAACCGAGUGGGAUCUGGUGUGUGAUAAUGCCAAUCUGAACAACAUUGGUUCCUCAAUCUACAUGUUUGGUCUUCUGGUCGGCGCCGUGCUGUUUGGUUCCUUAGCUGAUAAGUUUGGACGCAGGAACAUCAUCCUGGUUGGUUUGACUAUCCAGUCAACCUUUGGGGUUGGUGCUGCUUUUGCCCCAAAUUUCUACAUUUAUGUCUUUCUGCGCUUUGUGGUUGGAACAACUAUUUCAGCUGUCAUCAUGAACGCAUUUGUUUUAGGCACAGAGUGGACAGGAUCAAAGCACCGGAUGCUAGCUGGGAUCAUCACAGACUACUUCUUUGGAUUCGGCUACAUCACCCUGGCAGGCCUGGCCUACCUCAUCAGAGACUGGCGUAAGCUCCAACUGGCCAUCUCAGCACCAGGCUUCCUCUUCAUCUUCUACAUCUGGGUCCUACCCAAGUCGGCUCGGUGGCUAAUGGCCAACCAGAGGAACGAGGAGGCCAUGGAUCUGAUCAGGAAAGCUGCUCUGAUGAACGGCAAACCCCUGCAGGAGGACAUAGAGAUACAUCAGGGGUACAACGAUAUGGUGAAGAUGGAGGAGAGGAAAAAGGACACAGUCAUUGACCUGGUCCGUACGCCAAAAAUGAGGAGGAAUUCAUGUAUCAUGUUUUACCUGUGGUUUGUCAACGUGCUGGUCUACUAUGGCCUGUCCCUGAACAUCUCUGACUUUGGGAUGAACAUCUACCUGACCCAGCUGAUCUUUGGCCUGGUGGAGAUGCCCGCCAGGACCAUCACCCUCUUUACACUGAACCGCUCCAGGAGGAUAUCCCAGCUAGCCUUCCUCGCUGUGGGAGGCCUGGCCUGCCUGCUAACCAUCUUCAUUCCUGAUGGUAUGGACCAUCCCAUAGAAAACUCUGCUGGGUGUCAAUACGGCUUUAAGACGUUUAAACACACCCUGAGCUACAUGACGAGUUACAGUAUCCUCCUGGCCCUGAAAAGACUUCAGUUGACUUGAAUUAAGUUGUUUACCAGUGUAAUUAAACCAUGGCGGUCCUUGAAUGAUGUCAUAGUUAUGUAGUUUUAUAGCCUUGUUUAUAAGUACUUAGCUAGUAGUCAAUGGAAAGUCUUUGUGGCUUGGAACUUGGCUUAUGUUCGAAACUGAAAAUCUUAUGCAAGCCACAUUUAAAUGUUACAUAACUAGCUCCUUUUGUAAUAACCAGAGUUUGUUACUGACGUAACCUCCUGGGUGUAGAGUUGUUAUUAAAUCCCACCGGGGCCCUCAUGGAAGUCAUGUCAGCCGUACACUUGAAGACACUACCUUAGGUGGUUACGGUCUCCAGUAGGAUCUACACUACCUUAGGUAGUUACGUUCCCCAGUAGGAUCUACACUACCUUAGGAGGUUACGGUCUCCAGUAGGAUCUACACUACCUUAGGAGGUUACGGUCUCCAGUAGGAUCUACACUACCUUAGGUGGUUACGGUCUCCAGUAGGAUCUACACUACCUUAGGUAGUUACGUUCCCCAGUAGGAUCUACACUACCUUAGGUGGUUACGGUCUCCAUUAGGAUCUAAACUACCUUAGGUGGUUACGGUCUCCAGUAGGAUCUACACUACCUUAGGUAGUUACGUUCCCCAGUAGGAUCUACACUACCUUAGGAGGUUACAGUCUCCAGUAGGAUCUACACUACCUUAGGAGGUUAUGUUCUCCAGUAGGAUCUACACUACCUUAGGAGGUUACGGUCUUCAUUAGGAUCUACACUACCUUAGGAGGUUACGGUCUCCAGUAGGAUCUACACUACCUUAGGAGGUUACGGUCUCCAUUAGGAUCUACACUACCUUAGGAGGUUACGGUCUCCAGUAGGAUCUACACUACCUUAGGAGGUUAUGGUCUCCAGUAGGAUCUACACUACCUUAGGAGGUUACGGUCUCCAUUAGGAUCUACACUACCUUAGGAGGUUACGGUCUCCAGUAGGAUCUACACUACCUUAGGAGGUUACGGUCUCCAGUAGGAUCUACACUACCUUAGGAGGUUACGGUCUCCAUUAGGAUCUACACUACCUUAGGAGGUUACGGUCUCCAUUAGGAUCUCCACUACCUUAGGAGGUUACGGUCUCCAGUAGGAUCUACACUACCUUAGGAGGUUACGGUCUCCAGUAGGAUCUACACUACCUUAGGAGGUUACGGUCUCCAGUAGGAUCUACACUACCUUAGGAGGUUACGGUCUCCAUUAGGAUCUACACUACCUUAGGAGGUUACGGUCUCCAUUAGGAUCUACACUACCUUAGGAGGUUACGGUCUCCAUUAGGGUCUACACUACCUUAGGUAGUUACGGUAUCCAGUAGGAAUGCUGGAGAGUGAUUCACAGUAAUGUAACCUAGAGCUUCAGAUGCUAUACACAAAUAGCCUAGCUAUUUACCCGUUUAAUCUCUCCCCCAUCACUUCUCCCCCCCAUUUAAUCUCUAACCCCAUAAUUUUUCUCCCCCAUUCACCCCAUCACUAA